This 492-nucleotide ribosomal RNA is filed under the name uncultured bacterium. RNAcentral's name for it is "partial 16S ribosomal RNA". It matches the Rfam family "Bacterial small subunit ribosomal RNA", at positions 29 to 507 of the family's 1533-position model. The record is from RNAcentral.
AGUGAACGCUGGCGGUAGGCCUAACACAUGUAAGUCGAACGGCAGCACAGUAAGAGCUUGCUCUUACGGGUGGCGAGUGGCGGACGGGUGAGGAAUACAUCGGAAUCUACUUUUUCGUGGGGGAUAACGUAGGGAAACUUACGCUAAUACCACAUACGACCUACGGGUGAAAGCAGGGGAUCUUCGGACCUUGCGCGAUUGAAUGAGCCGAUGUCGGAUUAGCUAGUUGGCGGGGUAAAGGCCCACCAAGGCGACGAUCCGUAGCUGGUCUGAGAGGAUGAUCAGCCACACUGGAACUGGGACACGGUCCAGACUCCUACGGGAGGCAGCAGUGGGGAAUAUUGGACAAUGGGCGCAAGCCUGAUCCAGCCAUACCGCGUGGGUGAAGAAGGCCUUCGGGUUGUAAAGCCCUUUUGUUGGGAAAGAAAAGCAGCAGGUUAAUACCCCGCUGUUCUGACGGUACCCAAAGAAUAAGCACCGGCUAACUUCGUG